Molecule: ribosomal RNA, 496 nt
Filed under: uncultured bacterium
Lineage: Bacteria
Description: partial 16S ribosomal RNA
Rfam family: Bacterial small subunit ribosomal RNA
Source: RNAcentral
GAUGAACGCUGGCGGCGUGCCUAAUACAUGCAAGUCGAGCGAACAGACGAGGAGCUUGCUCCUCUGACGUUAGCGGCGGACGGGUGAGUAACACGUGGAUAACCUACCUAUAAGACUGGGAUAACUUCGGGAAACCGGAGCUAAUACCGGAUAAUAUAUUGAACCGCAUGGUUCAAUAGUGAAAGACGGUUUUGCUGUCACUUAUAGAUGGAUCCGCGCCGCAUUAGCUAGUUGGUAAGGUAACGGCUUACCAAGGCAACGAUGCGUAGCCGACCUGAGAGGUUGAUCGGCCACACUGGAACUGAGACACGGUCCAGACUCCUACGGGAGGCAGCAGCAGGGAAUCUUCCGCAAUGGGCGAAAGCUUGACGGAGCAACGCCGCGUGAGUGAUGAAGGUCUUCGGAUCGUAAAACUCUGUUAUUAGGGAAGAACAAAUGUGUAAGUAACUAUGCACGUCUUGACGGUACCUAAUCAGAAAGCCACGGCUAACUACGU